Molecule: ribosomal RNA, 405 nt
Filed under: uncultured bacterium
Lineage: Bacteria
Description: partial 16S ribosomal RNA
Rfam family: Bacterial small subunit ribosomal RNA
Source: RNAcentral
AUUGAACGCUAGCGGGAGGCUUUACACAUGCAAGUCGAACGAGUGGCGGACGGGUGAGUAAUAUAUCGGAACGUGCCCAGUAGCGGGGGAUAACUACUGGAAACAGUGGCUAAUACCGCAUACUAUAGGAGCGGCCGAUAUGGGAUUAGGUAGUUGGUGGGGUAAAGGCUCACCAAGGCAACGAUCCGUAGCUGGUUUGAGAGGACGACCAGCCACACUGGGACUGAGACACGGCCCAGACUCCUACGGGAGGCAGCAGUGGGGAAUAUUGGACAAUGGGGGCAACCCUGACGCAGCCAUCCCGCGUGUAUGAGAAGGCCUUCGGGUUGUAAAGUACUUUUGGCAGAGAAGCGGUAUCUGCAGAACAAGCACCGGCUAACUACGUGCCAGCAGCCGCGGUAAUAC